RNAcentral lists this ribosomal RNA (459 nucleotides) under uncultured bacterium. RNAcentral's name for it is "partial 16S ribosomal RNA". It matches the Rfam family "Bacterial small subunit ribosomal RNA", at positions 338 to 795 of the family's 1533-position model. The record is from RNAcentral.
CCUACGGGUGGCAGCAGUGAGGAAUAUUGGUCAAUGGCCGGAAGGCUGAACCAGCCAAGCCGCGUGAAGGACGAAGGUGCCAAGCAUUGUAAACUUCUUUUGUCAAAGGACAAAAUCAGGCUCGAGAGCCUGACCGAGGGUACUUGAAGAAAAAGCAUCGGCUAAAGCCGUGCUAGCAGCGGCGGUAAUACGGAGGAUGCGAGCGUUAUCAGGAUAUAUUGGGUUUAAAGGGUGCGUAGGCGGGCUUUUAAGUCAGCGGUAAAAGCCCGGGGCUCACCCCCGUCGAGCCGUUGAAACUGGGUGUCUUGAGAUGUCGAGAGGGAUGCGGAAUGCGCAGUGUAGCGGUUAAAUGCUUAGAUAUUGCGCAGAACUCCGAUUGCGAAGGCAGCAUACCGGCGGCGAUCUGACGCUGAGGCACGAACGCGUGGGUAUCGAACAGGAUUAGAUACCCUUGUAGUC